Molecule: non-coding RNA, 21 nt
Filed under: Caenorhabditis elegans
Lineage: Eukaryota; Metazoa; Nematoda; Chromadorea; Rhabditida; Rhabditidae
Source: RNAcentral
UAAGAUACUUAAAUUCCAUUU